This 76-nucleotide transfer RNA is filed under the name Niastella yeongjuensis. RNAcentral's name for it is "tRNA-Ile". It matches the Rfam family "tRNA". From Rfam's summary of the family: Transfer RNA (tRNA) molecules are approximately 80 nucleotides in length. The record is from RNAcentral. Lineage: Bacteria; Pseudomonadati; Bacteroidota; Chitinophagia; Chitinophagales; Chitinophagaceae.
UGGCCUGUAGCUCAAUGAUUGGAGCAAGUGCCUUAUACGCACAAGGUUACCGGUUCGAGCCCGGUCAGGCCAACAA